GGCAAACGCUGGCGGCGUGCUUAACACAUGCGAGUCGAACGGAAAGGCCCUGCUUUUGUGGGGUGCUCGAGUGGCGAACGGGUGAGUAACACGUGAGUAACCUGCCCUUGACUUUGGGAUAACUUCAGGAAACUGGGGCUAAUACCGGAUAGGAGCUCCUGCUGCAUGGUGGGGGUUGGAAAGUUUCGGCGGUUGGGGAUGGACUCGCGGCUUAUCAGCUUGUUGGUGGGGUAGUGGCUUACCAAGGCUUUGACGGGUAGCCGGCCUGAGAGGGUGACCGGCCACAUUGGGACUGAGAUACGGCCCAGACUCCUACGGGAGGCAGCAGUGGGGAAUAUUGCACAAUGGGCGGAAGCCUGAUGCAGCAACGCCGCGUGCGGGAUGACGGCCUUCGGGUUGUAAACCGCUUUCGCCUGUGACGAAGCGUGAGUGACGGUAAUGGGUAAAGAAGCACCGGCUAACUACGUG
This 468-nucleotide ribosomal RNA is filed under the name uncultured bacterium. RNAcentral describes it as "partial 16S ribosomal RNA". It matches the Rfam family "Bacterial small subunit ribosomal RNA", at positions 28 to 507 of the family's 1533-position model. The record is from RNAcentral.